AUAUUCUACUUGCUAUAAUUAAUAAAAUUUUAAUUGGAUUAUGAUCCGUUGUGGUCACAAUUUAUGACAAUUUCUGGUGCCGUGACUCGGAUAAGGAACGGUGGGCUUUGGUCCUCCGGGGAGGCGCCCCGCGACAUUUCGCGGCCCCGCGACCAACAGCUCACUCCAACCUUACCGACGAACCUAAAUUCUAGGAUAUUGAGCAAAAAAGGACCGGUAAAAUCCCAUAAAAUUCUGUGCACGGGAGUCCGGACGAAGACGCAGGACGCAAACAGCUGUCCGAACUGCGGAGCGUGGAUGGACUCAUGCCAGUCGCAUUAAAGGCCCAGUGACGAGACCCCACUGGAAAGUAAUCAGUACUCCAGGUGACACCAAGAUAACCCUGAAAAGAUAACGUAAUGAUAAAGACUUUAUUUGAUUAUUUUGCCGCAUUACCUUUCGGUAUAAAGUGUGUAUUGCUGUUUA
Strigops habroptila (Kakapo) is the source of this 465-nucleotide long non-coding RNA. RefSeq lists it as uncharacterized. The record is from RefSeq and is a predicted model, not a curated record. NCBI's taxonomy places the organism in Eukaryota, Metazoa, Chordata, Aves, Psittaciformes, Psittacidae. The transcript has 2 exons.